RNAcentral lists this ribosomal RNA (448 nucleotides) under uncultured bacterium. RNAcentral describes it as "bacterial SSU rRNA". It matches the Rfam family "Bacterial small subunit ribosomal RNA", at positions 329 to 793 of the family's 1533-position model. The record is from RNAcentral.
GGCCAGACUCCUACGGGAGGCAGCAGUGGGGAAUAUUGCACAAUGGGGGAAACCCUGAUGCAGCGACGCCGCGUGGGUGAAGAAGUAUUUCGGUAUGUAAAGCCCUAUCAGCAGGGAAGAAAAAUGACGGUACCUGACUAAGAAGCACCGGCUAAAUACGUGCCAGCAGCCGCGGUAAUACGUAUGGUGCAAGCGUUAUCCGGAUUUACUGGGUGUAAAGGGAGCGCAGGCGGCACGCUAAGCCUGAUGUGAAAACCCGCGGCCCAACCGCGGGAGUGCAUUGGGAACUGGCGGGCUGGAGUACCGGAGGGGCAGGCGGAAUUCCUAGUGUAGCGGUGAAAUGCGUAGAUAUUAGGAGGAACACCAGUGGCGAAGGCGGCCUGCUGGACGGAGACUGACGCUGAGGCUCGAAAGCGUGGGGAGCAAACAGGAUUAGAUACCCUGGUAC